ACUGAAUAGAUCCCAGGUAGUCCACGCCCUAAACGAUGUCAACUAGGUGUUGGGGGAGCAAUCUCUCAGUACCGCAGCUAACGCGUGAAGUUGACCGCCUGGGGAGGUACGGUCGCAAGAUUAAAACUACAAAGGAAUUGACGGGGACCCGGCACAAGCGGUGGAUGAUGUGGAUUAAUUCGAUGCAACGCGAACAACCUUACCUACCCUUGACAUGUCUGGAAUCCUGCUGAAAGGCGGGAGUGCCCGAAAGGGAACCGGAACACAGGUGCUGCAUGGCUGUCGUCAGCUCGUGUCGUGAGAUGUUGGGUUAAGUCCCGCAACGAGCGCAACCCUUGUCCUUAGUUGCUACGCAAGGGCACUCUAAGGAGACUGCCGGUGACAAACCGGAGGAAGGUGGGGAUGACGUCAAGUCCUCAUGGCCCUUAUGGGUAGGGCUUCACACGUCAUACAAUGGUCGGUACAGAGGGUUGCCAACCCGCGAGGGGAGCCAAUCCCAGAAAGCCGAUCGUAGUCCGGAUCGCAGUCUGCAACUCG
Molecule: ribosomal RNA, 537 nt
Filed under: uncultured bacterium
Lineage: Bacteria
Description: bacterial SSU rRNA
Rfam family: Bacterial small subunit ribosomal RNA
Source: RNAcentral